GCUUAGGUAGCUCAGCUGGUAGAGCACUUGCCCGCAAAAGGCAAAGGUCCCGAGUUCGAGUCUCGGUCCUGAACA
This 75-nucleotide transfer RNA is filed under the name Schistocerca americana (American grasshopper). Its description in RNAcentral is "tRNA-Leu". It matches the Rfam family "tRNA". From Rfam's summary of the family: Transfer RNA (tRNA) molecules are approximately 80 nucleotides in length. Lineage: Eukaryota; Metazoa; Arthropoda; Insecta; Orthoptera; Acrididae. The record is from RNAcentral.